CAACAAGAAGUAGGGAUUCGGCGCUUAUAAUGAGAUAGAUAAAUCACGCGGACUCAGGCUAGCAAAGAAGACUUCUAGUCGAUCCGGGACUGAAGUGCAAAGACAAAGGAAUAUGGUAGAAGGAGUACAACAAGAAAUCAAAGGAUUGCAGGCUAGAUUCGAGGUAUGCCAAAACAAAGGUAUGCUAGUUGAUUGAUUUCACUCUAUUUUACAGAUUGGGUGGGUGUUCAGUCAGAUGUACUAAAUGCAUUGCUGGGGAACGCAAGUUUGCUCGAGGAUUGGGGGUGGGUUCUUUACUUUUUUUCCGGUAUACCGCUCCGCGAGCAAGGAGCGAAUGAACAUAAGACCUAAUCUCAUGAAUAUCCUUUGCCCGUUAUCUCCUCAUCUUCCUAGAAAAAAUAUCCUUCGCCCGUUAUCUCCUCAUCUUCCUAUUUAUAAGCCA
RNAcentral lists this long non-coding RNA (442 nucleotides) under Vitis vinifera (wine grape). RNAcentral's name for it is "long non-coding RNA (VVIN_LNC007663)". The record is from RNAcentral. Lineage: Eukaryota; Viridiplantae; Streptophyta; Magnoliopsida; Vitales; Vitaceae.